This 112-nucleotide ribosomal RNA is filed under the name Trochophyllohypnum circinale. RNAcentral describes it as "partial 5.8S ribosomal RNA". It matches the Rfam family "5.8S ribosomal RNA", at positions 44 to 154 of the family's 154-position model. Rfam says of the family: 5.8S ribosomal RNA (5.8S rRNA) is a component of the large subunit of the eukaryotic ribosome. It is transcribed by RNA polymerase I as part of the 45S precursor that also contains 18S and 28S rRNA. Lineage: Eukaryota; Viridiplantae; Streptophyta; Bryopsida; Hypnales; Pylaisiadelphaceae. The record is from RNAcentral.
CGCAGCGAAAUGCGAUACGUAGUGUGAAUUGCAGAAUUCCGCGAAUCAUCGAGUCUUUGAACGCAAGUUGCGCCCGAGGCUUGUCCAAGGGCAUUUCCGCUAGAGCGUCACC